GAUGAACGCUGGCGGCGUGCCUAAUACAUGCAAGUCGAGCGAACGGACGAGAAGCUUGCUUCUCUGAUGUUAGCGGCGGACGGGUGAGUAACACGUGGAUAACCUACCUAUAAGACUGGGAUAACUUCGGGAAACCGGAGCUAAUACCGGAUAAUAUUUUGAACCGCAUGGUUCAAAAGUGAAAGACGGUCUUGCUGUCACUUAUAGAUGGAUCCGCGCUGCAUUAGCUAGUUGGUAAGGUAACGGCUUACCAAGGCAACGAUGCAUAGCCGACCUGAGAGGAUGAGCAGAGACAGUGGAACUGAUACACGGUGGAGAACACGACGGGAGGCACGAGGGGGGAAGAUUGGGAAAUGGGCGGAAACCUGACGAAGCAAUGACGCGGGAGGAAAGAAGGUCUAAGGAUCGUAAAACACUUGUAGUAGGGAAAAAAAGAAGGAAAAGAAAAACUGCCGGGCGGCACGGUGGCUAAAAAAUAAGAAAAGACGAAGGUCGUG
This 497-nucleotide ribosomal RNA is filed under the name uncultured bacterium. Its description in RNAcentral is "partial 16S ribosomal RNA". It matches the Rfam family "Bacterial small subunit ribosomal RNA", at positions 28 to 507 of the family's 1533-position model. The record is from RNAcentral.